This 73-nucleotide transfer RNA is filed under the name Mus musculus (house mouse). It matches the Rfam family "tRNA". From Rfam's summary of the family: Transfer RNA (tRNA) molecules are approximately 80 nucleotides in length. Their secondary structure includes four short double-helical elements and three loops (D, anti-codon, and T loops). Lineage: Eukaryota; Metazoa; Chordata; Mammalia; Rodentia; Muridae. RNAcentral also lists the same sequence under 1 other name. The record is from Rfam by way of RNAcentral.
GAGGUGAUGGCUCAGUGGUUAAGAGCACUGACUGCUCUUCCAGAGGACCUGAGUUCAAAUCCCAGCAACCACA